UGAGGAAUAUUGCACAAUGGGCGAAAGCCUGAUGCAGCGACGCCGCGUGGGUGAAGAAGGUCUUCGGAUCGUAAAGCCCUUUUCUGCGUGACGAGGAAGGACGGUAGCGCAGGAAUAAGUCUCGGCUAACUACGUGCCAGCAGCCGCGGUAAAACGUAGGAGACAAACGUUAUCCGGAGUUACUGGGCGUAAAGGGCGUGCAGGCGGUUUCUUAAGUUCGUCGUGAAAUCGCCCGGCUUAACCGGGCGGGGCCGAUGGAUACUGGGGAACUAGAGGGCGGUAGAGGCGUGUGGAAUUCCGGGUGUAGUGGUGAAAUGCGUAGAUAUCCGGAGGAACACCAGUGGCGAAGGCGACACGCUGGGCCGUACCUGACGCUAAGACGCGACAGCAUGGGGAGCGAAC
This 402-nucleotide ribosomal RNA is filed under the name uncultured bacterium. RNAcentral describes it as "bacterial SSU rRNA". It matches the Rfam family "Bacterial small subunit ribosomal RNA", at positions 355 to 773 of the family's 1533-position model. The record is from RNAcentral.